GACGAACGCUGGCGGCGUGCCUAAUACAUGCCAGUUGAGCGCUGAAGGUUGGUACUUGUACCAACUGGAUGAGCAGCGAACGGGUGAGUAACGCGUGGGGAAUCUGCCUUUGAGCGGGGGACAACAUUUGGAAACGAAUGCUAAUACCGCAUAAAAACUUUAAACACAAGUUUUAAGUUUGAAAGAUGCAAUUGCAUCACUCAAAGAUGAUCCCGCGUUGUAUUAGCUAGUUGGUGAGGUAAGGGCUCACCAAGGCGAUGAUACAUAGCCGACCUGAGAGGGUGAUCGGCAACAUUGGGACUGAGACACGGCCCAAACUCCUACGGGAGGCAGCAGUAGGGAAUCUUCGGCAAUGGACGAAAGUCUGACCGAGCAACGCCGCGGGAGUGAAGAAGGUUGUCGGAUCGUAAAACUCGGUUGGUAGAGAAGAACGUUGGUGAGAGUGGAAAGCUCAUCAAGUGACGGUAACUACCCAGAAAGGGACGGCUAACUACGUG
RNAcentral lists this ribosomal RNA (497 nucleotides) under uncultured bacterium. RNAcentral's name for it is "partial 16S ribosomal RNA". It matches the Rfam family "Bacterial small subunit ribosomal RNA", at positions 28 to 507 of the family's 1533-position model. The record is from RNAcentral.